CAAUAGCGUAUAUUAAAGUUGUUGCAGUUAAAAAGCUCGUAGUUGGAUUUCUGGUGGGAGCGAUCGGUCUGGCGCUUAGCGCGAGUACUUGCAUCGUCUCCGGCCAUCCUUGGGGAGGGUCUGUCUGGCAUUAGGUUGUCGGGCAGAGGAUCCUCAUCGUUUACUGUGAAAAAAUUAGAGUGUUCAAAGCAGGCUUAUGCCGUUGAAUAUAUUAGCAUGGAAUAAUAAGAUAGGACUUUGGUACCAUUUUGUUGGUUUGCGCACCAAAGUAAUGAUUAAUAGGGACAGUUGGGGGUAUUCGUAUUCCGUUGUCAGAGGUGAAAUUCUUGGAUUUACGGAAGACGAACUACUGCGAAAGCAUUUACCAAGGAUGUUUUCAUUAA
Molecule: ribosomal RNA, 383 nt
Filed under: uncultured eukaryote
Lineage: Eukaryota
Description: partial 18S ribosomal RNA
Rfam family: Eukaryotic small subunit ribosomal RNA
Source: RNAcentral